GGGGUUGUGGCUCAGUGGCAGAGCGCUUGCCUUGCAUGCAUAAGGCCCUGGGUUCAAUCCUCAGCACCA
Molecule: transfer RNA, 69 nt
Filed under: Urocitellus parryii (Arctic ground squirrel)
Lineage: Eukaryota; Metazoa; Chordata; Mammalia; Rodentia; Sciuridae
Also listed under: 1 other name
Description: Spermophilus parryii (Arctic ground squirrel) tRNA
Rfam family: tRNA
About the family: Transfer RNA (tRNA) molecules are approximately 80 nucleotides in length.
Source: Rfam by way of RNAcentral